UAAUCAUCUUUCUCAUACACUAAAAAUUAAUUAAUAAGUAAUUAAUGGUAUGAGAUUUGCACAUAUUCCUGCAUAGAAAAUUCCGAUUUGUAGGUUCAACUUCUUCCACUUGAAUUCAAGAAUUAUCGAGCAAAUUUAUAUGGUGUGAAAAACCAACCAAACAAGCCACAUUAACUAGUUUAUCAUUGAUAUUCAUUUAAUAUUCAGUUAAAAUGUGUAAACCCACAAAAAGUUAUGACUACAACACUUCAAGCUCUUCAUCCUUAUUAAUGAAGCAAGACAUGUUAAAAUGAUUUUAAAAAAAAAUUGUUGCUACGUAUCUCAUAUGCUAAGCUUUUCUCACAAUAAGUCCGUUGCUGUUGCAAUUUCAGCUGCUCAUCAAAACUGUUUUAACUCAAAAGAAAUUCUCCAAUGUUCAAUAUAGAAAUAUGUUCCUAACCUCACAA
This 446-nucleotide unclassified non-coding RNA is filed under the name Hevea brasiliensis (rubber tree). The record is from RNAcentral. Lineage: Eukaryota; Viridiplantae; Streptophyta; Magnoliopsida; Malpighiales; Euphorbiaceae.